AACGAACGCUGGCGGCAUGCCUAACACAUGUAAGUCGAACGAGAUCUUCGGGUCUAGUGGCGCACGGGUGCGUAACGCGUGGGAAUCUGCCCUUUGGUUCGGAAUAACAGUUGGAAACGACUGCUAAUACCGGAUGAUGACGAAAGUCCAAAGAUUUAUCGCCAGAGGAUGAGCCCGCGUAGGAUUAGCUAGUUGGUGUGGCAAAGGCGCACCAAGGCGACGAUCCUUAGCUGGUCUGAGAGGAUGAUCAGCCACACUGGGACUGAGACACGGCCCAGACUCCUACGGGAGGCAGCAGUGGGGAAUAUUGGACAAUGGGCGAAAGCCUGAUCCAGCAAUGCCGCGUGAGUGAUGAAGGCCUUAGGGUUGUAAAGCUCUUUUACCCGGGAUGAUAAUGACAGUACCGGGAGAAUAAGCUCCGGCUAACUUCGUGCCAGCCGCCGCAGUAA
Molecule: ribosomal RNA, 449 nt
Filed under: uncultured bacterium
Lineage: Bacteria
Description: partial 16S ribosomal RNA
Rfam family: Bacterial small subunit ribosomal RNA
Source: RNAcentral